This 732-nucleotide ribosomal RNA is filed under the name Triticum aestivum (bread wheat). RNAcentral's name for it is "partial small subunit ribosomal RNA". The record is from RNAcentral. Lineage: Eukaryota; Viridiplantae; Streptophyta; Magnoliopsida; Poales; Poaceae.
AUGACCCCCGGCUCCAUGCGCCGCUACAUCUACCGCAAGGUCGUCCUCUCCGACUCUGCCGCCGUCGCCAUGCUCAUCACCGAUCUACGGUACGGCGCCGUGGCCUUCGCCACGGGGGAGGGCCGCGUGUGGAGGCUAGUGCCCUCGCGCCAUGGCAUCACCAAGGCCGGGACCAAGUGUGCCAGGUGGCCGAGGCCGCCUUCGCGCGACAGCAUCGAGGACGCUGUCCACCACGAGGGCAGGUUCUACUCGAUCACUUACUCCGGCGAGUUGGAGGCGUGGGAGCAGGACGCCGAUGGUACUGGCGUGUUCACCAGUGUGGUUGUAGAGCCAGGGCAGCCCUGGUGCGACCACAACAAGUACCUGGUGACGGCGCCGGGCGGUCGGCUGAUGGUCGUGCUCAAGCAGUCUGAUAAGGUCACGCAUCGGUUGACAUUCAAGGUGCUGGUCCUUGACGCGGGUGCCAAGCAAUGGAAGGAGGUGGACGACAUCGGCGACGCCGCAUUGUUCAUCGGGGUGAAUGGCUCGCUGUGCGUGUCGACGAGGGAGCAACCGGAGCUUAGGGCCGGCUGCGUCUACUACACCGCCGACGAUCUGUCGCCGUACUACCCCGACAACCAGCGUGGCGCCGGGGUGUUCAGCCUCAAGGACGGCAGGGAGGAGAAGGUCGAGGGCCUUGGGCCGCACCGGAACAAGCCGCCACCGGCGUGGUUCACGCUUUGCAUCCCAUGA